Molecule: ribosomal RNA, 504 nt
Filed under: uncultured bacterium
Lineage: Bacteria
Description: partial 16S ribosomal RNA
Rfam family: Bacterial small subunit ribosomal RNA
Source: RNAcentral
AUUGAACGCUAGCGGCAUGCUUAACACAUGCAAGUCGAACGGCAGCGCGGGGAGCUUGCUCUCUGGCGGCGAGUGGCGGACGGGUGAGUAACGCGUAGGAAUCUACCUGUUAGUGGGGGAUAACCGGAGGAAACUCGGGCUAAUACCGCAUAAUAUCUAAGGAGCAAAGGGGGGGACUUUCGGGCCUCGUGCUAACUGAUGAGCCUGCGUUGGAUUAGCUAGUUGGUGGGGUAAAGGCCUACCAAGGCGACGAUCCAUAGCUGGUCUGCGAGGACGACCAGCCACGCUGGGACUGGGACACGGCCCAGACUCCUACGGGAGGCAGCAGUGGGGAAUAUUGGACAGUGGGGGAAACCCUGAUCCAGCAAUGCCGCGUGUGUGAAGAAGGCCUUCGGGUUGUAAAGCACUUUCAGUGGGGAAGAAAGACUCAAGUUUAAUAAACUUGGGGGUUGACGUUACCCGCAGAAGAAGCACUGGCUAACUCUGUGCCAGCCGCCGCCGUAA